CCAUAGCCGCGAUUGAAGCAAUUGUUUGAGCUCAUUUUUAAGCUUUUUGGCGGCGCGGCUUUGCCGCGCCGCCAAAAAGCUUAAAAAUAGCAAGUGCGGAAAGCGCGAAACAGC
Molecule: unclassified non-coding RNA, 114 nt
Filed under: Chryseobacterium gambrini
Lineage: Bacteria; Pseudomonadati; Bacteroidota; Flavobacteriia; Flavobacteriales; Weeksellaceae
Description: Flavo-1 RNA
Source: RNAcentral